CUGACGAGUGGCGGACGGGUGAGUAAUGCUUGGGAAUCUGGCUUAUGGAGGGGGAUAACUACGGGAAACUGUAGCUAAUACCGCGUAGAAUCGGAAGAUGAAAGUGCGGGACCGCAAGGCCGCAUGCCAUGAGAUGAGCCCAAGUGGGAUUAGGUAGUUGGUGGGGUAAAGGCCUACCAAGCCUGCGAUCUCUAGCUGGUCUGAGAGGAUGGCCAGCCACACUGGAACUGAGACACGGUCCAGACUCCUACGGGAGGCAGCAGUGGGGAAUAUUGCGCAAUGGGGGGAACCCUGACGCAGCCAUGCCGCGUGAAUGAAGAAGGCCUUCGGGUUGUAAAGUUCUUUCGGUAUUGAGGAAGGUUGAUGUGUUAAUAGUACAUCAAAUUGACGUUAAAUACAGAAGAAGCACCGGCUAACUCCGUGCCAGCAGCCGCGGUAAUACGGAGGGUGCGAGCGUUAAUCGGAAUAACUGGGCGUAAAGGGCACGCAGGCGGUUAUUUAAGUGAGGUGUGAAAGCCCCGGGCUUAACCUGGGAAUUGCAUUUCAGACUGGGUAACUAGAGUACUUUAGGGAGGGGUAGAAUUCCACGUGUAGCGGU
This 598-nucleotide ribosomal RNA is filed under the name Haemophilus haemolyticus. RNAcentral's name for it is "bacterial SSU rRNA". It matches the Rfam family "Bacterial small subunit ribosomal RNA", at positions 88 to 682 of the family's 1533-position model. Lineage: Bacteria; Pseudomonadati; Pseudomonadota; Gammaproteobacteria; Pasteurellales; Pasteurellaceae. The record is from RNAcentral.